This 210-nucleotide ribosomal RNA is filed under the name uncultured bacterium. RNAcentral's name for it is "partial 16S ribosomal RNA". It matches the Rfam family "Bacterial small subunit ribosomal RNA", at positions 568 to 775 of the family's 1533-position model. The record is from RNAcentral.
UGCGUAGGUGGUGAGGUAAGUCGGAUGUGAAAAGCUCCGAGCUCAACUCGGAAAUGGCAUUGGAAACUACCUUGCUCGAGGGUUUGGAGGGGGGACUGGAAUACUUGGUGUAGCAGUGAAAUGCGUAGAUAUCAAGUAGAACACCAGUGGCGAAGGCGAGUCCCUGGAAAACUCCUGACACUGAGGCACGAAAGAGGGAGGACGAAACAA